Molecule: RNase P RNA, 306 nt
Filed under: uncultured Duodenibacillus sp.
Lineage: Bacteria; Pseudomonadati; Pseudomonadota; Betaproteobacteria; Burkholderiales; Sutterellaceae
Description: Bacterial RNase P class A
Rfam family: Bacterial RNase P class A
About the family: Ribonuclease P (RNase P) is a ubiquitous endoribonuclease, found in archaea, bacteria and eukarya as well as chloroplasts and mitochondria.
Source: RNAcentral
GUCGGUCGGACGAUUGCGGGCGAGUUUUCGCACGAGGAAAGUCCGGACUCCGGAGGGUACCGUAGGAGGUAACGCCUCUCCGCCGUAAGGCGAGGAUCAGAGCAACAGAGACGAGCCGAUUCAGUUCGGGUGAAACGGGCAAUCUCUACGGGGAGCAACAUCAAAUAGGCGGCUGCUUGAUUCUGACCCGGAAAAGGCCGCGGGUAGAUGGCUUGAGGCGGGGCGUGAGCCCCGCACUAGAUGAAUGAUCGUCAGUGCACCCGAUUUAAAUCGGGUGCACAACAUAAUCCGGCUUACAGACCGACC